UUGCAUGAUACUAUCCAUAGAAUGAAUCUAUUGAUUCUGAUGCCUUUUCCUCUCCCAAAGCAUUUACAUAGCGCAUUGAACAAUCUCACUAUGCAUCGUGAGGAGACUCAACUGCUGAUAUUCAGCUAUCCACCCGCCUUUGCUCUUCCCAGUCGAUGAAGUUCGGCAACUUCAGUUGCCAACUCUGGGAUGAGUACGAGGAACUCACCUCCCGAGCGCUCACAGUUUAGGGCGAGAGGCUUUACAUCUGUACAUGUACAUGCAUGUAAGUCUGAGAAUAGAAUGAAGUAAGAUGGUUACAAACUAUCUGUUAGGCCACUAAGGCAAAAGAUCUCUCUCACACCAGCGCCAUGCUGGUAGAAGAGGGGACGAACCAAUCCAGACCCCCAACACUAUCUAAGCUAGGUAGCUUGUGAUUCUUGCCUGCUGAUCGGCUCCCAUACCGAGUUCCGUGGUUAUCGCGCAGCAUUACUUCCAAGAGUCUACCAUACAAAUAAUAUGGAAAGAUCUUUUGAAUCUUUGGUGAUUGGCAGCUCCUACGUGGGAGAAAGUAAUUGACCUUUUGGAACAAACUACAGCCUCAGGAACUUGGCCUGCGAAAUGGCCCAUUUAUCAGAGACUUCUCCCGACUCGCCUGUCAUUUGGGAUUACUGAGUUGUGCCUGGAUGAGAUUUUUCGCCCAUCCUAUACAGCAUAGUAUCCCUGCCUAUAAAACUUGAAUUCGACGUCCAGCCUGCUGAUAACGGGGGCCGAGAUGAUCCUUCGACAUAAUAUCCUUCUUUUCGGAGCUAUUUCGUUUAUUCUACACGACUCAAACUAUCCAUUACUCUUCAUGGGUGAAGUAACGGGCUUUUACAGAUCCCUACUCAUACAGACCAAGGGCCUGAGAAUUUCUUCAACGUGAC
This 905-nucleotide small RNA is filed under the name Histoplasma capsulatum. Its description in RNAcentral is "hypothetical RNA". RNAcentral also lists the same sequence under 1 other name. Lineage: Eukaryota; Fungi; Ascomycota; Eurotiomycetes; Onygenales; Ajellomycetaceae. The record is from RNAcentral.